GCGAGAGUGGCGGAAUUGGCAGACGCACCAGACUUAGGAUCUGGCGCCGAAAGGCAUGGGGGUUCAAAUCCCCCCUCUCGCA
This 82-nucleotide transfer RNA is filed under the name Candidatus Hydrogenedentes bacterium CG07_land_8_20_14_0_80_42_17. RNAcentral's name for it is "tRNA-Leu". It matches the Rfam family "tRNA". From Rfam's summary of the family: Transfer RNA (tRNA) molecules are approximately 80 nucleotides in length. Their secondary structure includes four short double-helical elements and three loops (D, anti-codon, and T loops). Further hydrogen bonds mediate the characteristic L-shaped molecular structure. tRNAs have two regions of fundamental functional importance: the anti-codon, which is responsible for specific mRNA codon recognition, and the 3' end, to which the tRNAs corresponding amino acid is attached (by aminoacyl-tRNA synthetases). tRNAs cope with the degeneracy of the genetic code in two manners: having more than one tRNA (with a specific anti-codon) for a particular amino acid; and 'wobble' base-pairing, i.e. permitting non-standard base-pairing at the 3rd anti-codon position. Lineage: Bacteria; Pseudomonadati; Candidatus Hydrogenedentota. The record is from RNAcentral.